CGUACAUGCUGCUUUUCGUCAGUUUUACAUGGCAGGAUUAUUCCUACUUUUAAUAAUAAAUGUUGUACUUCAAAGAAAAGUUCUAAGGUUUAAAAUAGCAGAAGAUUAGAGGUGUCAGUUCCGAGAAGAUUCAGAGAUUGGACGCUUUGGAGGCCUUGAAGCCUGGCUGCAUUUUUCUUUAACAGUUUAAGGUCAUCCUUGAUCCGAGUCUGGGUCAGCAUUUUCACAGCCUAACACAUAGCAGUCAAAGGAGGGCAUCUUCUGACUUUUGGGCAACAGUCAAGGAAAACCUUUGAUGAAGCGAGUGGAAUAUGUGGUAGCUGCAAGUGUCUGUUG
This is a non-coding RNA of Pelobates cultripes (western spadefoot toad), 336 nucleotides long. The record is from the annotation of a GenBank genome assembly. Lineage: Eukaryota; Metazoa; Chordata; Amphibia; Anura; Pelobatidae.